UGGGGAAUAUUGGACAAUGGGCGCAAGCCUGAUCCAGCCAUGCCGCGUGAGUGAUGAAGGCCUUAGGGUUGUAAAGCUCUUUUUGGCGGGGACGAUAAUGACGGUACCCGCAGAAUAAGCCCCGGCUAACUUCGUGCCAGCAGCCGCGGUAAUACGAAGGGGGCUAGCGUUGUUCGGAAUCACUGGGCGUAAAGCGCACGUAGGCGGACCUUCAAGUCAGGGGUGAAAUCCCGGGGCUCAACCUCGGAACUGCCUUUGAUACUGUUGGUCUCGAGUCCGGAAGAGGUGGGUGGAAUUCCUAGUGUAGAGGUGAAAUUCGUAGAUAUUAGGAAGAACACCGGUGGCGAAGGCGGCCCACUGGUCCGGUACUGACGCUGAGGUGCGAAAGCGUGGGGAGCAAACAGGAUUAGAUACCCUUGUAGUCCCUGAGCGGGCUGGCAAGGCGCAU
This 448-nucleotide ribosomal RNA is filed under the name uncultured bacterium. Its description in RNAcentral is "bacterial SSU rRNA". It matches the Rfam family "Bacterial small subunit ribosomal RNA", at positions 355 to 825 of the family's 1533-position model. The record is from RNAcentral.